CCUACGGGAGACAGCAGUGAGGAAUAUUGGUCAAUGGACGAGAGUCUGAACCAGCCAAGUAGCGUGAAGGAUGACUGCCCUAUGGGUUGUAAACUUCUUUUAUAUGGGAAUAAAAUGUUCCACGUGUGGGAUUUUGUAUGUACCAUAUGAAUAAGGAUCGGCUAACUCCGUGCCAGCAGCCGCGGUAAUACGGAGGAUCCGAGCGUUAUCCGGAUUUAUUGGGUUUAAAGGGAGCGUAGGUGGAUUGUUUAGUCAGUUGUGAAAGUUUGCGGCUCAACCGUAAAAUUGCAGUUGAAACUGGCAGUCUUGAGUACAGUAGAGGUGGGCGGAAUUCGUGGUGUAGCGGUGAAAUGCUUAGAUAUCACGAAGAACUCCGAUUGCGAAGGCAGUUCACUGGACUGCAACUGACACUGAGGCUCGAAAGUGUGGGUAUCAAACAGGAUUAGAUACCCCAGUAGUC
This 460-nucleotide ribosomal RNA is filed under the name uncultured bacterium. RNAcentral describes it as "partial 16S ribosomal RNA". It matches the Rfam family "Bacterial small subunit ribosomal RNA", at positions 338 to 795 of the family's 1533-position model. The record is from RNAcentral.